Molecule: ribosomal RNA, 300 nt
Filed under: uncultured Pyrobaculum sp.
Lineage: Archaea; Thermoproteati; Thermoproteota; Thermoprotei; Thermoproteales; Thermoproteaceae
Description: bacterial SSU rRNA
Rfam family: Bacterial small subunit ribosomal RNA (bases 59-300)
Source: RNAcentral
GUGAGGUUGGGGCGGGGAAGGGCGGUAAUGGGAGGGGGGUUGGGUUUGUUGGUUGUGUUUGGGUGGAAGUGUCGCUUAGGUGGUGCGACGGGUCUCGUGUGAAAGCUAUAGGCGCAACUUGUGGUCUGCAUGGGAAACUGUCGUGCUGGAGUACUGGAGAGGUGAGUGGGAGUCCCGGUGUAGCGGUGAAAUGCGUAGAUAUCGGGAGGAACACCUGUGGCGAAAGCGGCUCACUGGACAGUUACUGACGCUGAUGCGCGAAAGCUAGGGGAGCAAACAGGAUUAGAUACCCGAGUAGUC